ACCGAAGAGUUUGCGUGGGGCCCGCCGGGCGGCGCUAGCAGCCUCGUCUCCUGAGGGGACGUUUCUAUUUGGGCCGCCUCUGUGCGAGCUGCCUAGCCUAAGGACACCGAGUUUUCCUUAGAAGCAACCGCGGGAUACACCCCUCUGUAGAGAAAGAAGACCAACAAGAUCCUCCUUCUGCACUUGGGAGCUGGAGGAUGUGCUCAUGUUUUGUAAAGAUGAAUAAGGAAGAGCUACAGUAGCAGGCAUGGUGUUCCCUGCUUGUAAUCCCAGCAACCUGGAGCUUGAGGAGGAAGGCUUGAGAGUCCAGAGCAUCCUGGGCUACAUUUGUCUCAAAAGGAAUCUGAAAACUGAACUAAUGACGUAUGGAGCCAAAAGCACAGCUAAGAGAGUAAUUCCCAAGCUCAAUGUUUUAUGUGUGCAAGCUAAGUGGAUUUUCUCCAUACUUCACGGAAGAAGUAAGGCGGCCACCGGAGCGCUAAAGCGGAGGUCCUUUGGUAUUUGAAUUAUUUCACUGAAAUAAGAUCAGGCUCGAAAAACCUCUUUAAAACUAAGGUGAUGUUUUCAGAAAUAAAGAUCACAUAGUGGUUGCC
RNAcentral lists this long non-coding RNA (593 nucleotides) under Mus spretus (western wild mouse). RNAcentral describes it as "lncRNA (ENSMSPG00010025217.1)". Lineage: Eukaryota; Metazoa; Chordata; Mammalia; Rodentia; Muridae. The record is from RNAcentral.